UACAGAGGGGGCAAGCGUUAUUCGGAAUUAUUGGGCGUAAAGGGCGCGUAGGCGGUGUCUUAAGUGAGAUGUGUAAUCCCCGAGCUUAACUUGGGAACUGCAUCUCAGACUGGGGCGCUAGAGUACUGGAGAGGGUGGUAGAAUUCCACGUGUAGCGGUGAAAUGCGUAGAGAUGUGGAGGAAUACCAGUGGCGAAGGCGGCCACCUGGACAGUAACUGACGCUGAGGCGCGAAAGUGUGGGUAGCAAACAGG
Molecule: ribosomal RNA, 253 nt
Filed under: uncultured bacterium
Lineage: Bacteria
Description: partial 16S ribosomal RNA
Rfam family: Bacterial small subunit ribosomal RNA
Source: RNAcentral